Molecule: ribosomal RNA, 1002 nt
Filed under: Triticum aestivum (bread wheat)
Lineage: Eukaryota; Viridiplantae; Streptophyta; Magnoliopsida; Poales; Poaceae
Description: partial small subunit ribosomal RNA
Source: RNAcentral
AUGCCUGGCUUGCCAGUUGCCACCACUCCAGCCCAGCUCCAUACCUCUUACGCGCAUACAGCGAGCAUCACUCGAUAUACGUAUUUCUCAAAAAGAAAAAGAAAAACUCGAUGUAGGUGUACGUAUAACUUGCGAAGCUGCCCAGAUUGGAUCCGAAUCUGUCUCGGCCGCUACGUGAUUCACGUAGCCGUAGCAGUGUAUCGUGCAGGUUCCGGAUCUUGUCAGACCUGUACAUGUUUUUUCAGACACUUCUAUAAGUUACUAUUACAAAUAUAUAUAAGCUCGGAGAAUAUGCCACAUUGGAUUCUCCUAACAAAAAAAAAAUCAACUCCCCCAGCUACUUCCCCAAAGUGUCACUGUCCAGUGGGUCCACCCUCGAUCCCCUUUAUAGCGCCACGCCUUAUCGUUCCCAGUCGCUUACUUCCGGAUCGAAAGUCGCCGGCCAUGAAGCUCUCCUGCCUUCUCCUCGUCUCCUUCUUUGCCGCGGCGUACGCGUCGUCGGAGAGAGCGAUCGCGGUCGCGGGCGCCGGCGGCCUCUUAUCGGACCCGGAGCAGCAGUGCGUGUACACGGUGUACGUGCGGACGGGCUCGAUCUGGAAGGGCGGGACGGACUCGGCGAUCGGCGUGACCCUGCUGGGCUCGGACGGCACGGGCGUCCGGAUCGCCGACCUGGAGCAGUGGGGCGGGAUGAUGGGCGCCGGCCACGACUACUACGAGCGCGGCAACCUCGACAUCUUCAGCGGCCGCGGGCCCUGCAUGGAGCGCGCGCCGUGCUGGGCGAACGUCACCUCCGAUGGCGCCGGCGCGCACCACGGCUGGUACUGCAACUACGUCGAGGUCACGGCCACGGGGCCCCACAUGGGCUGCGCGCAGCAGCUCUUCACCGUCGAGCAGUGGCUCGCUACCGACGCCUCGCCCUACCGCCUCUACGCCGCCGUCGACAACUGCGGCGACAAGCAGGCAGCUGCCAAGGGCCACGAGGCCAGGGCCGCCGCUCUGUGA